AUUGAACGCUGGCGGCAUGCUUUACACAUGCAAGUCGAACGGCAGCGCGGGCUUCGGCCUGGCGGCGAGUGGCGAACGGGUGAGUAAUGCAUCGGAACGUGCCCAGUAGUGGGGGAUAGCCCAGCGAAAGCCGGAUUAAUACCGCAUACGACCUGAGGGUGAAAGCGGGGGGCCGAAAGGCCUCGCGCUAUUGGAGCAGCCGAUGUCGGAUUAGCUAGUUGGUGGGGUAAAGGCUUACCAAGGCGACGAUCCGUAGCUGGUCUGAGAGGACGACCAGCCACACUGGGACUGAGACACGGCCCAGACUCCUACGGGAGGCAGCAGUGGGGAAUUUUGGACAAUGGGGGCAACCCUGAUCCAGCCAUGCCGCGUGCGGGAAGAAGGCCUUCGGGUUGUAAACCGCUUUUGUUCGGGAAGAAAUCCUCUGGGCUAAUACCCCGGGGGGAUGACGGUACCGGAAGAAUAAGCACCGGCUAACUACGUG
This 484-nucleotide ribosomal RNA is filed under the name uncultured bacterium. RNAcentral describes it as "partial 16S ribosomal RNA". It matches the Rfam family "Bacterial small subunit ribosomal RNA", at positions 29 to 507 of the family's 1533-position model. The record is from RNAcentral.